Molecule: long non-coding RNA, 367 nt
Filed under: Capsicum annuum
Lineage: Eukaryota; Viridiplantae; Streptophyta; Magnoliopsida; Solanales; Solanaceae
Description: long non-coding RNA (CANN_LNC001906)
Source: RNAcentral
AGAAAUCUUGGUUGAAUUUCAACAAGUAAAUUGCAAAUUGUUUAGAUAGAUGGGCAUCUUCGGAUUCAUGUUUGGUACUCUUUGUGGAGUAUAUAUUGCACAGAAUUACACACUGCCCAAAAUUGAAGAUUGGGCUCAAUCUAAAUAUGUGAAGGCUAGGGAGCUUGAGAAGGCGUACCGUAACAAGAAUUUUGAUCCAAACGAGGCACAUAAAGAUUCCAACCCAACUAAACCAGGCCCAUGAGUGGGUAAGUGGUAGAGUAGCAUAAAUGGAGGUGGAGGUUGUUUUUUCUUUUUCUUUUUCUUUUUUUUUUUUUGUUUUUUGAGUAAAAAAUCAGUUGUUAUUGUUAUUAAACUUAUUGUCGAC